Long non-coding RNA from Rhipicephalus microplus (southern cattle tick), 576 nucleotides. Lineage: Eukaryota; Metazoa; Arthropoda; Arachnida; Ixodida; Ixodidae. The record is from RefSeq and is a predicted model, not a curated record.
GCCAGGUUGCGGCUGUAGUGGAUUCCUCGCGUAAGGUUUCCAUUGGAUUGUGAUUCCGCUUCCCUCACAAACGAGUAUUUCACCACCACCAUCCCCAGGAGUCCAGCGUGUACAGCUCCUUCGCCCCGACCCCGCCAACAUAACGUCCACACCUACAGAAUAAUGGCACUACGCAUCCAAAAUGAAGAAAGAAAAAAAAAUCUCCGUAUCCAGAGCUGUUCUGUUUCGCACCCGUCCUCCACCUUGUCGAAGGGCAUGGCACGACGCAGCGCGCCACCGACAUUUUCACGAGAGGACGAUGGUCCUGUCAUCGCUUCGUUACUGUGCCGGGAGGCGCUAACCGGAAAAACGCCACACGCCGGGAUAGCCCCAUGGGAAAAUUCGGCCAUCUAUGUGAAGAAGGCAAAGAGCUCGUAUGAUCGCUUCCUGAGCGUACGUGGCAGCCGAAACAGAGCAGAGCGCAGCAUCCAGCAGGCCACUCCUCUAUGGAUAAAUGGAUCGCGCUUCUCCCAUGCCGCAGCCUAACCUCCACUCCCCCGUUUAUCUUCCGUUUGUUCCCGACAUACGUAGCUCUGA